RNAcentral lists this ribosomal RNA (1091 nucleotides) under uncultured bacterium. RNAcentral's name for it is "bacterial SSU rRNA". It matches the Rfam family "Bacterial small subunit ribosomal RNA", at positions 402 to 1504 of the family's 1533-position model. The record is from RNAcentral.
UGCAGGAAGAAGCCCUCUGGGUCGUAAACUGCUUUUACUCGGGAAUAAACCUGUCUACGUGUAGAUAGCUGAAUGUACCGAGGGAAUAAGGAUCGGCUAACUCCGUGCCAGCAGCCGCGGUAAUACGGAGGAUCCAAGCGUUAUCCGGAUUUAUUGGGUUUAAAGGGUGCGUAGGCGGCCUGUUAAGUCAGGGGUGAAAGACGGUAGCUCAACUAUCGCAGUGCCCUUGAUACUGAUGGGCUUGAAUUGACUAGAGGUAGGCGGAAUGUGACAAGUAGCGGUGAAAUGCAUAGAUAUGUCACAGAACACCGAUUGCGAAGGCAGCUUACUAUGGUCUUAUUGACGCUGAGGCACGAAAGCGUGGGGAUCAAACAGGAUUAGAUACCCUGGUAGUCCACGCCCUAAACGAUGAAUACUCGCUGUUGGCGAUACACAGUCAGCGGCUAAGCGAAAGCGUUAAGUAUUCCACCUGGGGAGUACGCCCGCAAGGGUGAAACUCAAAGGAAUUGACGGGGGCCCGCACAAGCGGAGGAGCAUGUGGUUUAAUUCGAUGAUACGCGAGGAACCUUACCCGGGCUUGAAAGUUAGUGAAGCAUCCAGAGAUGGAUGCGUCCGCAAGGACACGAAACUAGGUGCUGCAUGGCUGUCGUCAGCUCGUGCCGUGAGGUGUUGGGUUAAGUCCCGCAACGAGCGCAACCCCUAUGUCUAGUUGCCAGCACGUAAUGGUGGGGACUCUAGACAGACUGCCUGUGCAAACAGAGAGGAAGGAGGGGACGACGUCAAGUCAUCAUGGCCCUUACGUCCGGGGCUACACACGUGCUACAAUGGACGGUACAGAGGGCAGCCAGCCAGCGAUGGUGCGCAAAUCUCAAAAAGCCGUUCACAGUUCGGAUCGGGGUCUGCAACUCGACCCCGUGAAGUUGGAUUCGCUAGUAAUCGCAUAUCAGCAAUGAUGCGGUGAAUACGUUCCCGGGCCUUGUACACACCGCCCGUCAAGCCAUGGAAGUUGGGGGUACCUAAAGUACGUAACCGCAAGGAGCGUCCUAGGGUAAAACCGAUAACUGGGGCUAAGUCGUAACAAGGUAACCGUA